GAUGAACGCUGGCGGCGUGCCUAACACAUGCAAGUCGAACGGAAAGGCCCUGCUCUUGUGCGGUGCUCGAGUGCCGAACGGGUGAGUAUCACGUGAGUAUCCUGCCCUUGUCUUUCGGAUAACUUCAGGAAACUGGGGCUAAUAUCGGAUAGGAGCUCCUGCUGCGUGGUGGGCGUUGGAAAGUUUCGGCGGUUGGGGAUGGACUAGCGGCUUAUCAGCUUGUUGGUUGGGUAGUGGCUUACCAAGGCUUUGACGGGUAGGCGGCCUGGGAGGGGGGACGGGCACCAGAGGCCUGCGAGAGGGACCAGUCUGCUAUGUUAGGCAGUAGGCGGAAGCAUGGCACAGUGGGCGGGAGUCUGUGACGGCGGCGCCGGGUGCGUAAUGCCGGCUUUCGGGGUGUGAACCGCUUUCGCCUGAGACGAAGCGUGAGUGACGGUAAUGAGUAAAGAAGCACCGGCUAACUACGUG
Molecule: ribosomal RNA, 468 nt
Filed under: uncultured bacterium
Lineage: Bacteria
Description: partial 16S ribosomal RNA
Rfam family: Bacterial small subunit ribosomal RNA
Source: RNAcentral